This 162-nucleotide ribosomal RNA is filed under the name Metrosideros polymorpha. RNAcentral describes it as "5.8S ribosomal RNA". It matches the Rfam family "5.8S ribosomal RNA". From Rfam's summary of the family: 5.8S ribosomal RNA (5.8S rRNA) is a component of the large subunit of the eukaryotic ribosome. Lineage: Eukaryota; Viridiplantae; Streptophyta; Magnoliopsida; Myrtales; Myrtaceae. The record is from RNAcentral.
UAACGACUCUCGGCAACGGAUAUCUCGGCUCUCGCAUCGAUGAAGAACGUAGCGAACUGCGAUACUUGGUGUGAAUUGCAGAAUCCCGUGAACCAUCGAGUCUUUGAACGCAAGUUGCGCCCGAAGCCAUUCGGUCGAGGGCACGUUUGCCUGGGUGUCACA